AGAGUUUGAUCAUGGCUCAGAUUGAACGCUGGCGGCAUGCUUUACACAUGCAAGUCGAACGGCAGCACGGGGGCAACCCUGGUGGCGAGUGGCGGACGGGUGAGUAAUGCAUCGGAACGUGCCCUGAAGUGGGGGAUAACGCAGCGAAAGCUACGCUAAUACCGCAUAUUCUGUGAGCAGGAAAGCAGGGGAUCGCAAGACCUUGCGCUUUGGGAGCGGCCGAUGUCGGAUUAGCUAGUUGGUGGGGUAAAGGCCUACCAAGGCGACGAUCCGUAGCGGGUCUGAGAGGAUGAUCCGCCACACUGGGACUGAGACACGGCCCAGACUCCUACGGGAGGCAGCAGUGGGGAAUUUUGGACAAUGGGCGGAAGCCUGAUCCAGCCAUGCCGCGUGAGUGAAGAAGGCCUUCGGGUUGUAAAGCUCUUUCGGCGGGGAAGAAAUUGCUUGGGUUAAUACCCUGAGUAGAUGACGGUACCCGAAUAAGAAGCACCGGCUAACUACGUG
RNAcentral lists this ribosomal RNA (504 nucleotides) under uncultured bacterium. RNAcentral describes it as "bacterial SSU rRNA". It matches the Rfam family "Bacterial small subunit ribosomal RNA", at positions 8 to 507 of the family's 1533-position model. The record is from RNAcentral.